UAGGGAAUCUUCCGCAAUGGACGCAAGUCUGACGGAGCAACGCCGCGUGAGUGAAGAAGGAUUUCGGUUCGUAAAACUCUGUUGUUAGAGAAGAACAGCGCAUAGAGUAACUGUUAUGCGUGUGACGGUAUCUAACCAGAAAGCCACGGCUAACUACGUGCCAGCAGCCGCGGUAAUACGUAGGUGGCAAGCGUUGUCCGGAUUUAUUGGGCGUAAAGCGAGCGCAGGCGGUCAAUUAAGUCUGAUGUGAAAGCCCCCAGCUCAACCGGGGAGGGUCAUUGGAAACUGGUUGACUUGAGUGCAGAAGAGGAGAGUGGAAUUCCAUGUGUAGCGGUGAAAUGCGUAGAUAUAUGGAGGAACACCAGUGGCGAAGGCGACUCUCUGGUCUGUAACUGACGCUGAGGCUCGAAAGCGUGGGUAGCAAACAGG
Molecule: ribosomal RNA, 429 nt
Filed under: Bacteroidota bacterium
Lineage: Bacteria; Pseudomonadati; Bacteroidota
Description: Bacteroidetes bacterium partial 16S ribosomal RNA
Rfam family: Bacterial small subunit ribosomal RNA
Source: RNAcentral